Molecule: ribosomal RNA, 253 nt
Filed under: uncultured bacterium
Lineage: Bacteria
Description: partial 16S ribosomal RNA
Rfam family: Bacterial small subunit ribosomal RNA
Source: RNAcentral
UACAGAGGUGGCAAGCGUUGUUCGGAAUUACUGGGCGUAAAGGGCGCGUAGGCGGACCUGCAAGUCGGGGGUGAAAGCCCGAGGCUCAACCUCGGAACUGCCUUCGAUACUGCGGGUCUCGAGUCCGGGAGAGGUGAGUGGAAUUCCUAGUGUAGAGGUGAAAUUCGUAGAUAUUAGGAAGAACACCAGUGGCGAAGGCGGCUUACUGGCCCGGUACUGACGCUGAGGCGCGAAAGCGUGGGGAGCAAACAGG